UUCUUGAUAGCUCAGUUGGUUAGACCAUGGUGCUGAUAAUGCCAAAUCUGCAGGUUUGAUCCCUGUAUGGGACA
This is a non-coding RNA of Podarcis lilfordi (Lilford's wall lizard), 74 nucleotides long. NCBI's taxonomy places the organism in Eukaryota, Metazoa, Chordata, Lepidosauria, Squamata, Lacertidae. The record is from the annotation of a GenBank genome assembly.